RNAcentral lists this non-coding RNA (27 nucleotides) under Mus musculus (house mouse). The record is from RNAcentral. Lineage: Eukaryota; Metazoa; Chordata; Mammalia; Rodentia; Muridae.
CCAAGAUCAGUGGGUGCAGGAAGUCUA